Oreochromis niloticus (Nile tilapia) is the source of this 616-nucleotide long non-coding RNA. RefSeq lists it as uncharacterized. The transcript is spliced from 2 exons. The record is from RefSeq and is a predicted model, not a curated record. NCBI's taxonomy places the organism in Eukaryota, Metazoa, Chordata, Actinopteri, Cichliformes, Cichlidae.
CCCAUGUGAAAUACAGGGCUGCAAAAUCCCUUUUUGUUAUUUAAGGCUAUAGCCUGUUAUUGUCACAAGGGGGUGCUGUGAUGCAGUCUUGUGUUCUGACGACCUUGCGUCUAGUGCGCAGGAAGCAUUACUUGUCUCUUCCUGUGAGAUCUUCCCUCUGAUGGCGGUCAAGUGCGUGUCGGAGCGCAUGGAAAAUAAUAUUUUGGUAUGCAAUGCUGCAACCCGGUUAAUGAGACCAGAUUGUUUUAUGUAUAAAUGCUAAUAAGCUACUGUUUUAUUAGGCCCCGAACUCUGACCACAAAGGAAUAACAUCUGUCAAGUUAUUUGUGUUGGAAAAUCCCGAUUGGUUUUUUUGAACUACCAGAAAGGAUUCUGGAGAACCACUGACGGCGAGAACAGCCCAAAUGAGAUCCUGGAUGAUCGUGAAAUGGUGUGGCCAGCCAUGCGAUCGGAUUGUGGAUCUUGCCUGAGAAACUGAUUCAAGCAACCCUGGAUUUCAGAUAAGCCCUAUGCACUACUUUUCCUACCCGGAUAAUAGGGUCUGCACACUGACAAUUCCCCUACAGUACACCUGUUUGGGUUUCAACGACUUUAAAGGACAAUUCAGACUGGACAA